Molecule: unclassified non-coding RNA, 1089 nt
Filed under: Hevea brasiliensis (rubber tree)
Lineage: Eukaryota; Viridiplantae; Streptophyta; Magnoliopsida; Malpighiales; Euphorbiaceae
Source: RNAcentral
GAGAGAGAGAGAGAGAGAUUAUAAUAAUGCUGAUACUAGAGUGUAGAUGGCAAAAAAUGCUCUCAGUGAACACCCUAGCAAUCACUCAAUUAACAUCUCAUUAUCCAUCAUUGGGCAGUGAGAGAAUAACUCUCAGGAUGCUAAUAUCCAAGUAUUGCACAACAAAGAAGAUGACAGAAGAUAUAACAAAGUUGAUAAACUCAAAUUGCAUAAUAUAAUAUUCUGGAGCAUUAUACAAAUUAUAAUAUUCUGCAUACCCAAAAAUAGGCAAAUUUAGAAUAACUGUAUAAAGUCCUCAGAUCAAACCGUUGUAAUUUCAGGCAGUGAAGCAUAUGAUUUUCAUUAAAAGUCAACCAAUAUCUUCAGUGAUAACAGAUCAAAUUAGAACAACAACAAAAACCACCAUCACCACCACCACCAGCAGCAGCCAGUACACCUGGAGACAGGAGUGCUGAAAGUGAAGAUGGAGGCAGAUAGUGAAAAUCAAAGCAACUGUCCCACUUAAUCAGAGGUCUUCAGUUCGGGCAAAGCAAAUGUUAAAGACAGAAGCUCUCAAAUAAUGCAAAAAGGAACCAGGAAUAACAGUCAGCUCUAAAUAAAAGAAGAACUGACGCCACAAGUAUUAAAACCAAAAAAAAUAAGAGUUAUAAAUAGUAAGGAUAAACACAGAGAAAGGAACAAACAUAGGUAAAGUUUGCGGCCAACUAUUCAAAUAGCUCAUCAUAUUUCCUAAAGCCAUCAAGACUGAAAAAAAUGAAGAGAAGGAAGUCAGACAAAGCUUUCUAGGCUUGCAUUUCCAUCAAUAAUUCAGAGCCCAGUGCAUGUAUCAUCAUCCACAAUCGUCCAACACAAAUACCAAACACCCACCAUUUAACUAGUGGGGAAAUUUACACAAAUCAAUAUAUUAAAUACAAAAAUGACCAAUUCAACGACUAAACAAACAUCCAAACUCGAGUCCAUCAGGCCCAGAGACCCAAUAAAGCAUACAUGCAAAGCCAAUACGAGCACCGUUAAGGAAAAAUGUAUAUAAGGUUUACAUCAGAGAGGAAAAAUUAGAUAAAAAAAAAAAAGCCCUCAGAUCUCAUAGCU